CAUGUGGUUGUUUCUCACACUAGAUUUGAGUUUUACUAGUGUGGUAGCUAGUGUUGGUUUUAUACCCUGAAAGUGGGAUGUGUCAGUAUAUUACACUUGAUAAUUAUUUAGUUUCUGAGCCAGGAACAAAUUAAGAAAAGGUUUUUGUUUAUGUGUGUGAGAAUCUAGGAUUGUUCAACACAACCUUGAUUUAGGUUCUAAUUAUCAAUUUGGGCUUAGUGACGCAUUAGGAAGUCAGAGGAGGAGGAUCCUGAUCUUGAUGUCAGCUUCAGCCACAUGGGGCUGAGCAUCUGGGAAGGAAAGAAAGAAAAGACAUAGCACAUGGGGCCAGAGGUAACAACAGCAUCACAAGAAGGCCUUUGUUUGUGGUUCUUAUGGGUUUCUAUAUACUAAGCCAUAAAAAAUACUGCCCACGAAGAAAGAUUCAGUCAGAUUAUACAGAUAGUAAAUUGUCAACUACUACAGUUGGACGCAUAUGACAGAGUUACACCUACAAACCCCUGUGGAAGGUUAAUGACUUCCAUGAAAAUGAUUACAAAUGGAGAAGUCAAUACAAACACACACACACACACACACACACACACACACACACACACACACACACACACAGAGACACACACACAUAUAAAGCACUUCAUUCUGAAUGCUGCAGUGAUCUAUCUAAGGCAAAGGAAAUUGUUCUGUCAGGAAACUUGUCUUAAAAUGCAUACAGAUAUGAUAAAGUCCUAUUUUUCAUGCUAGAUAUUGCUGAAAAUUUGGCCAUGUAUCCGGAGAACCAUAAAAAAAAUCCCCCACAUUGUAAGUUUUCAGAAUCCCUUGAGAAUCACAUUACCUUUGUUAAAAAUUAAAAGGAAAAAAAUAAAAGCCACUACUUCUUGUACAUUCAGGAACUGAUAGUCGUUAUCUUUGAAGGGAAGAAAAUGAAAACAGGCCAAGUCAUACAUCUACAUUCCAGACUGUUUACUCUCUUAUCAAAUUAAAUGAAACGAGAGCCCUGGCUGGCUCACUGACAGUUCCUAGCCAACCAUCAUUUUUUCAUUCUGAAUUUCACCAAGGUCUUAGAAUUCUUAAGAUAAGCUUCAGAGAAUCAACUGUAAACCCGGGAGAGAAAAAAGAAAACAACUUUGGUAUUUUUAAGAUACCUAUCCUUCCUCGCAAGACAGGGUUUUCGACAAUGUUGGAGGAGAGGAAAGGUGUGGGGACCAAGGCAUCAUGACAAGAUGACAGUUGACAAACUACAAAUCCUUCUCCAUUAAGUCUCCAUGUAAUAAAACAGAGCAGGACAUAGGAACUUGGAAAUCUCAGUGGGUGAUCUCAGGAUUCAGCUUCACAACUUCUGACAUCCAUUCUAUCCAGUUACAUCUAUAAAAGAUUCAUCCUCAUACUGCCCUCUGAAAGACCCAUCAAGCAGCUGAAAGAGUCAGAUGCAGAUAUUUGCACCCAACCAAUGAACAGAAGCUGCUGACCUCUCUGGUUGAAUUAGGGGAAAGCUGGAGGAAGCUGACGAGGAGCUGACAAGCAACCUUUUAGGAGGACCAGCAGUCUCAAUUAACCUGGACUCGCGAGAUCUCUCAGACACCAUAUCACCAACCAGGCAGCAUACAUGAGUUUAUAUAAGGCCUCCAACACAUAUCCAGCAGAGAACUCCUGGGUCUGGAUUGAAUCAGAGAAGAUGCACCUAACCCUCAAGAGACUGGAGGCCCUAGGGAGUUUAGAG
Long non-coding RNA from Rattus norvegicus (Norway rat), 1717 nucleotides. RefSeq lists it as uncharacterized. Lineage: Eukaryota; Metazoa; Chordata; Mammalia; Rodentia; Muridae. The record is from RefSeq and is a predicted model, not a curated record.